UACAGAGGUCCCGAGCGUUGUUCGGAUUCAUUGGGCGUAAAGGGUGCGUAGGCGGCGGGGCAAGUCUGAUGUGAGAUCCCGGGGCUCAACCCCGGAACUGCAUUGGAUACUGCCUUGCUCGAGUACUGGAGAGGGAACUGGAAUUUACGGUGUAGCAGUGAAAUGCGUAGAGAUCGUAAGGAAGGCCAGUGGCGAAGGCGAGUUCCUGGACAGUUACUGACGCUGAGGCACGAAGGCCAGGGGAGCAAACGGG
This 253-nucleotide ribosomal RNA is filed under the name uncultured bacterium. Its description in RNAcentral is "partial 16S ribosomal RNA". It matches the Rfam family "Bacterial small subunit ribosomal RNA", at positions 524 to 776 of the family's 1533-position model. The record is from RNAcentral.